GACUUUGAUCCUGGCUCAGGACGAACGCUGGCGGCGUGCCUAACACAUGCAAGUCGAGCGAAGCGCGAGUGAUAGCUUGCUAUUAUUUGUGACUGAGCGGCGGACGGGUGAGUAACCCGUGGGUGAUCUACCUGGGAGACCGGGAUAACAGUUCGAAAGGGCUGCUAAUACCGGAUGAUGCCAUGAGCGCGAGUUGAUGGUCAAAGGCGUUAUCGUAGCGCUCUCAGAUGAGCCCGCGUCCCAUUAGUUAGUUGGUGGGGUAAUGGCCUACCAAGGCGACGAUGGGUAGCCGGUCUGAGAGGAUGGUCGGCCACACUGGGACUGAGACACGGCCCAGACUCCUACGGGAGGCAGCAGUGGGGAAUUUUGCGCAAUGGGGGCAACCCUGACGCAGCGACGCCGCGUGAGUGAAGAAGGCCUUCGGGUUGUAAAGCUCUGUCUGGGGGGAAGAAUAGUGACGGUACCCUCUGGAGGAAGCCCCGGGUA
Molecule: ribosomal RNA, 486 nt
Filed under: uncultured bacterium
Lineage: Bacteria
Description: bacterial SSU rRNA
Rfam family: Bacterial small subunit ribosomal RNA
Source: RNAcentral